RNA transcript from Globicephala melas (long-finned pilot whale), 4387 nucleotides. It is a transcript of the gene named transmembrane protein 143, with no coding region annotated. NCBI's taxonomy places the organism in Eukaryota, Metazoa, Chordata, Mammalia, Artiodactyla, Delphinidae. The record is from RefSeq and is a predicted model, not a curated record.
UCCAAGGAAAGCGAGUUGUGGAGCGAGGCAGGCAGAUUGCGCGUGCGCAGUCGACACAGGGCGUUAGAAGAAGGAAAUGGACCUCUCUCAAUGACCUAGGCAUUGCGCAUGCGUCUUACUGCGGACUGAAGCCGAACCUCGAAGGACCAGGACGCUUUUCUGCACAUGCGCAGGAGGCUCAAUGACAGUUGAACGUUGGCUAAGGCUGCGGGGAAAGGGUCUGGCCAUGCUGCAUGUGACCCGAGGGUUCUGGGGAUCCAGGGUCCGAGUAUGGCCCCUGUUGCCCGCGCUCCUCGACCACCCCCGGGCCCUGUCAUCGCUGGCGGCCAAGAUGGGGGAGUACCGCAAGAUGUGGAACCCCACGGAACCCCGCAACUGGUCCCAGCAGUACCGCGAGCGGUUCAUCCCGUUCUCCAAAGAGCAGCUGCUCCGCCUCCUGAUAAAGGAGUUCCAUUCCAGUCCUGCGGAGAAGGCGGCUUUGGAGGAGUUCGUGGCCCACGUGAACUUUUGCACCUUGUUCCACUACCAUCACAUCCUGGCCCAGCUGCAGGCCUUGUAUGACCCCAUCAACCCUGACAGGGAGACCCUUGAGCAGACUUCACUUACAGACCCCCAGCGUCUGUCCAAUGAACAGGAGGUUCUUCGGGCUCUGGAGCCCCUGCUGGCCCAGGCCAACUUCUCCCCGCUCUCAGAGGACACCCUGGCCUAUGCUCUGGUGGUCCAUCACCCUCAGGAUGUGGUCCAGGUGACGAUAAAUUUGGACCAGUAUAUCUACAUGCAGUUCUGGGCCCUGGGCCAGCGAGUCGGGCAGAUGCCCCGUAAGUCCAGCGUGGGCUUCAAGCAUGGCUUCUUCAAGUCGCCCCCUGCAGAGAGGAGAUACUUUAAGCGGGUGGUGCUAGCAGCCCGAGCGAAGCGGGGGCACUUGGUGCUGAAGAGCUUCAAGGACAUACCGUUGGAGGGCCUGGAGCAGCUGCUGCCCGAGCUGAAGGUGCGCACGCCCACCCUACAGCGGGCCCUGCUCAAUUUCACGUUGGUCGUCUCGGGUGUGGUGUUCUUCGUCAAUGUGGGCAUGGUGGUGCUCUCCGACCUCAAGAUGGCCACCUCCCUGCUGCUGCUGCUCUUCACUGCCUUCAUGGGCCUGCGGGCCUCCAAGGUAAGCGGCCCACCCCACCAAGCCUGCUCCUUGGUGUUCAGCCAGGUCAGGCCACCCUAUCGUUUUAUUUCUCUUUUUGUGGAUUAUUCCUGCUUCGUGCUGUGCUUCCUUUCCUUUCCUUAUUUACUCAACACAACCUUGGGCAGGUUUCUUGAUCUCUCUGUGCCUCGAUUUCCUCAUCUGGAAAAUGGGUAUAAUAGCAAGACCUGCCUGGUAGGGCUGUUGUGAGGAGGAAAUGAGUGAAUCUGUGAGGAACACUGGAUACAGGGCUGGCAUGUGGCUAGUGGGAUACAAGUGUUCACGGCCACUCACUGCAUGCUUAGUGACGUGGGAGGGGUGUGUGUUUUAGAACCAGACUGCCUGGGUUUGAAUCUAGUUCUACCGUGUUCUAGCUGUGUGACCUUUUUUUUUUAGCUUUUUUUUUUUUUUUUGGUGGCCACACCGCAUGGCAUGUGGGAUCUUAGUUCCCCGACCAGAUAUCGAACCCAUUCCCCUGUAGUGGAAGCGUGGAGUCCUAACCACUGAACCUCCAGGGAAGUCCCUAGCUGUGUGACCUUGAACAAGCUGCUUAACCUCUCUGUGCCUCUUUAAAGUGGAGAUGACAGUGGGGGUUGUUGUGAGGAGUAAAUGAAUUGAUGCGCAUACUACAGUGCGGAAAACAGAGCCUGGCACAUAGUACAGAGGCAUUAUAUGAGAGUUCGCCAUUACCAUUAUUACUGUUAUUACUGACUGUGCUCUUGUCUCCUGAGUCUGGGCUUCCCCAUCCUGGCCAGGUGUCACUAUCACCAGGGGAGCUAUUUUAUAAAUGCAGCCUCCUGUGUUCUAGCCCAUAUGGACUGAAUUGGAAACUCUGGGAACAGGGCCUGUAUUAUUAACAAGCUCCCUUCCUGAUUCCGCUACAUGUGAGUGCAGGGCCGCCUCAUCCAGUUGUGCAGGUUGUUCACCAUCCAAGGAUGCGUGGCCGAAGGGACAGCUGGGGGUUGGACUCCAGCUUGUGCUUUGCUUGCUGAGCCGCGAGCUCUGUCUCGAGGCUGAGGUGGCCUCAAGGGGCCGCCUUUUACUGAUUCUCCCCAGGGGUGGCAUUGGCCCCAGGAACGUGGACUGGCAUGAAGUUGCUGUUGUGCCCGAUCACUUACUUGCUGGCUCCUUGGUUUUCAGGCUGUUUUCAGCCAUCCCAAUGGGCUCGUAGGAAGCCUGGUUGGUUAAUAAAUCCCACAGAUAAUAACCAGCCUGCGCUGGCUGAGAGGGUUGCAGGGGUGGGGGGAGCACUUCCUACCUAGAACCAAGGGUCCAGUGGGAUUGGAGGGAAGCUCUGAAAGGCGGGGAUUGAGCCUUUCAGGGGGCUGGGUGAGCACAGCUUGGGGGGAUCUCACAGUGAUGGAGUCUGGGGUGCAGCGUGGUGAAGCGAGGCCCCAGAGGGAGUGGCGAGGGCCUUGAAUGCCAAGGCAGUGGCCCUGGACUUCAUCCUCAGGGCAGGGGGCUAUGGAAGGGCUGUAAGCAUAGAGGGUGUGUGGCAACCACGGACAACAGAGGGGAGGGUGCCGAGCUGCUCUGGGGAGGACAUACACAGUUCUAGCCCAGGGAGGACCAUCCGUGCUACCUCUCAGUGGCCCGUGGGGAUGGAGGGUCCUGAGCCUCUUGGGCUCUGAAGCACCCGGUUUUAAACCCAGUUCACUAGUUAAUUUACUGCAUCCCUUAGACAGUUUCCCAUGCCCCAGGCUGAGCCCCCAUGCCUUAACUUUAUCAUUUAUUUAUUUAUUAAUUUGGCUUGUGGGAUCUCAGUUCCUCAACCAGGGAUUCAGUCCGGGCCAUGGCGCCGAAAGCACUGAAUCCCAGCCACUAGCCCACCAGGGAACUCCCUCCAUGCCUUAAAUGUGGGUCUCCCUGGCCUCUGUCCAGCUGCCCGCACAGCAUCCAUCUUCCCCUAAACCCCCUUGUCCUCCCGAGUUCCCCGUCUUGGGACAGAUGCUCAGAUCAAACACCUGGGAGGCUGAUUUUGCUGCAGGAUACACGUCCCUCUUUCUCCUUCCACCCCUACACCCACGAGCGAUCUCGUCCACUUCCGUGGUUUCCACAAGCAGCUCCCCAUCAUCUCCUAGAUCGGGGUGCUCUGUGCUCAGCCUGAAGCAGCCAAGUUGGCCAGGUGGAGGGCAGCAUCUCUCCCACACCUGCUCUUCCUCCUGGUUCUCCAUCUGUGGUUGACCCCGUUGUCCCCCAGUCACUGGUUAGACCCCUGGAAGUCGCCCUGGUCCUGCCCCCCAACCCGUCAGUCCUCAGCCCAUCCUUCCUGCCCCCCCUCUCCAAGUCUCUGUGCCCAUCUCCUUUCCUCUAUCCUGGCUCCAGCUCAGACCCUCUUCCUAGCCCCCCCGUUGGUCCCCUCCGGCCCAUCCCCAUUGGCCCCGGGGCUGGCCCUGCUUCUCCCUUGCUCACAACUUGGCAUCGGAGACCUUGCUUCCCCAGCCUCAUCUGACACAAUUCUAAGCUUCAGCUCUACCAAAAUAUACUUGUAGCUCCUCCCCCCCGCUUCUCUUUUCUUCUCUCCCUUUGCAUGUGCUGUUCCUGGUGGGGAAGGGGGGCAGCCAAUAGACAGCUGGGCCCCAGACCUGGCGCUCCCUCCCUUCUUCUCUGAAAACGGCUCAUCAAGUAUUUGUUGUCUGUUAACACUUCUCUUUGACAAUUUAACAUUUAAAACCUUUUUUUUUUAAUUAUGGAAAAGUGCAAACAGAUGCAGAAAUAGAAUAGUAUAAUAAGCUUCCUUGUAGCCAGCACCAGCGUCAACAGGUAGCAACGGUCAAUCAGGUUUCACCUAAAGACCGCCUCCCCGACCAUUGGAUUAUUUUGAAGCAGAUCCUGCACGCGUCAUCUGGGAACACUUCAGUAUGUGUCUAGACGAUAAGGAUUAAAAAAAAAAAAAAUCAUUGUAACAAAAAGUGCCGACACUAAAACUCCUGUGGUCCGGAAAUCCUCGAACACAUUCAUUAACACGUGGCUCAAAUGAGCAAACCAGGGGCGAGAGCAUGUGGGUUAAACAUCCAAAUACCCAGGCCCCAGUCCUGGGGACCUGGACCGAAGACGUCUGGGGAGGUCCCUGGAGCCCUCGGGAAGGACUGUACCAGCAUGUUCGGACAGCGGCGCAACGUGCAGGCGCUGGAGCUGGCGCACAUGCUCUACUACCGCAGCACGUCCAACAACUCGGAGCUGCUCAGCGCCCUGGCCCUGCGCGCGCAGGACGAG